UAUCAAUGAGGACAAACCUGCAAUUAGGAACAGGAAUGUUAUGACUGAUUCUAUACGCUAUUCUGAGAUAUGU
This is a small nucleolar RNA of Mercenaria mercenaria, 73 nucleotides long. RefSeq annotates it as small nucleolar RNA U54. The record is from RefSeq and is a predicted model, not a curated record. The transcript has a single exon. NCBI's taxonomy places the organism in Eukaryota, Metazoa, Mollusca, Bivalvia, Venerida, Veneridae.